GAUUCUUCAAAGGAGGAUCCUCUGCUUCUGGACCACAGUGGACCAUGGACUGAGAGAAAAAUGCUGAAAAUAUCAACAAGGACUUGGUGACUUUGGAGAUAAUAUCAAGCUGGUUAACAUAUAUGUACUUGGAGUUCCAAAAUAGGAGCAAGAAUUAUGAACAUAAAAAUGUAUAUUGAGUUCCUGGAAGUGGCUGAAGAGAACGUGCUGAAUUAGAAGAGAAGAACAUCCAGGACAUAUUCCUAACUAACAAUGAAGGAGGUAUUAGAGAUGUAAAAUAAAGGGAAACAUUUUGUGAAUUCUCGACAAAGAUGGGGACUAUAAAGGCAAAGUUAUUAGAAAAUUAAACAUUGAGAAAAUGCUAUAGUCAAAGAAAAGUUGGGAAAAAAAAACCCUGAAGCUUAAUACAUAGCUUCAAUAACAGUAAGGACCUGCACGCCCUCUUCACACAUGCCUCAUAAUGCAAAUAGUGUAUGUCCUCCUUGUAAGAGACAAGCAGUUAAUGAUUUCUUUAGAACAGAUAACAUCUAAGGAAGAACCAGACAUCUUGAUGCCAAGACCCUGGCUCUAAGGAAUAACACCUGGGACCUCAUCUUUGUUCUAACUGGUUCCUGGAUGCCUGAGAGGACACGUAUACCAGACCACAAUCCUCAAUAAGAACCCCCAGACUCCAAGCAAAAAUAAGGCUCUCUCUUUUCCUUUCCAAGUCUCCAGACACUCUGUACCUGCACUGUUUUCAUACCAUCAAUAAACUCUGCUUUCGC
Molecule: long non-coding RNA, 764 nt
Organism: Zalophus californianus (California sea lion)
Lineage: Eukaryota; Metazoa; Chordata; Mammalia; Carnivora; Otariidae
Exons: 5
Source: RefSeq, a predicted model, not a curated record